AUGGCAACAAAUGAGAACCUCCCACCAAAUGUCAUCAGGCAAUUGGCUAAAGAACUGAAGAAUCUUGAUGAAUCACCUCCGGAAGGGAUUAAAGUUAUUGUUAAUGAUGAUGACUUCAGCACCAUUUUUGCUGAUAUUGAGGGCCCUGCUGGAACUCCAUAUGAGAAUGGAGUAUUCCGGAUGAAGCUAUUGUUGUCUCGUGACUUCCCUCACUCUCCCCCAAAAGGGUUCUUCUCGACAAAAAUAUUCCAUCCAAACAUAGCAACUAGUGGCGAGAUAUGUGUGAACACGCUGAAAAAGGAUUGGAACCCUAGUCUUGGGUUGAGACAUGUUCUGCUGGUAGUGAGAUGCCUUCUGAUCGAACCAUUCCCCGAAUCUGCCCUUAAUGAACAAGCUGGAAAGAUGUUGCUUGAAAACUACGAGGAGUAUGCACGCCUUGCAAGGUCAACCUUUGACUAUGCAUUUUUCAACCCUAGUGCGAUGCUCGCAGAUCUUUUUCUUACGGAGCAAUUUUGGCACAUGGUCAUGAAUCUCAUGGCUGCCAUUUCUGUCAGAUCAGAUCGCAGGCUAUACACCGGCAUUCAUGCACAUAAACAUAAGAACAAGUCCAAGAGCGGAGCCAUUUGCGAGUCAACCACAACUCUAAACGUUGGCCAGAGCAACAACACCGUUCCGAGCAAGAACAUACCAUCGGCGCCAGCACUAGUAUCCACCUCCACCUCGACCAAAGUUCUCGGCAUACAGGAUCAGAACGCAGCUCCUUCUGAUCCUGCUGUAGGGCCAUCAACGGCAAACAAGAAGGACGGGCCGCUUGCCACCAAAAUCCCAGCCGAGAAGAGGAAGAUGGAUGCCAGGAAGAAGAGCCUGAAGAGGCUGUAA
RNAcentral lists this ribosomal RNA (879 nucleotides) under Triticum aestivum (bread wheat). RNAcentral describes it as "partial small subunit ribosomal RNA". Lineage: Eukaryota; Viridiplantae; Streptophyta; Magnoliopsida; Poales; Poaceae. The record is from RNAcentral.